This 71-nucleotide transfer RNA is filed under the name Heterocephalus glaber (naked mole-rat). It matches the Rfam family "tRNA". Rfam says of the family: Transfer RNA (tRNA) molecules are approximately 80 nucleotides in length. Their secondary structure includes four short double-helical elements and three loops (D, anti-codon, and T loops). The record is from Rfam by way of RNAcentral. Lineage: Eukaryota; Metazoa; Chordata; Mammalia; Rodentia; Bathyergidae.
UCAGUGAUAGAUUAGUGGUAGAAUGCUUGCCUAAUGUGCAUGAGGAUCUAGGUUCAAUCUCUAGUACUGAA